Molecule: long non-coding RNA, 5514 nt
Filed under: Homo sapiens (human)
Lineage: Eukaryota; Metazoa; Chordata; Mammalia; Primates; Hominidae
Description: HSALNT0378034
Source: RNAcentral
CUCGAGCCCGGUCCUCCGGGCAGAGCAGUUGUUUCGCCACAGCUUGCGGGAUGCAUUCCUCCCCCACGCCCCGGGCGCCAUGGAAACCGCCCGGUUAACCCCCACCCUUUGCACUGCCCCUCAUAUUCAUUUGCCACCCGCUAUCAGCGGACCCUGCAAGAAGAUCCGCCUUCCCGAAGUAAUGCCCAAAAUAGAGCCUCUCCGGUGCCUGUCCGCAUGCCCUGCGCGCGUGCACCAAAGCCCGGCGCCACCUAAGUGUUCUGGGGAAUUCAAGAGGGAUUCCCCAACUUUCUCCCCCUUGGCUUAGGCUCCCAGCCCUUUGCUGAACUAAAGAGAGAUUUGUAGAUUUCCCGGGCUGGUUGCGCUCCUGGGUUAAAGGGGAGUUACAGAAAACUCGCUUUACUCGCUUCUUUCCCUGCGGACGUGGUUUUGUCUUGGGGAGGUUAGAUUUGAACCUGUUAUGUGGGGCUAUUUUUCCUGAUGGAUUCUGGGCGAAGACCCUAGGGUGCGGGGGAGGGAAAGGAGAGUUUGAAGAAGCCGAAGAAGCUGUCCGCGGUUGUGUGAUGGAACGCUUAGCACAGAGCUGGCUCCGGGCUUGGUCUUGGAAGCGGUCUUUGAACUCAAGCAGCCCUAGUCUGCCACCUGCCGGUCCUAGCCCAUUUCAAAGGGCAAACCCUCGACUCGUUGCACUGACCUCUGUCCUUGGCGAGGGAUCCUGAUAAGGAAACUGAGGCCUGGAGAGGCGGGUGUGUUACUCAGCGUCCUAUAGUGAAAUAGCAUCAGAACAAGCAGCAAUAAAAUGGGUGCUCCUUCCACGUGGCCUUUCCCAUGAGCUCUUCUGGGGCAGCCCUUCAGCUUGGUGAGAGAUUCCAAGGGGUCUAACCUGGGAUUCAAGUGAGAUUUGGAAUUGCUUUUGUGGUGGAACGAGCUGGAUCUGUUGUGAGAUCUGGGUUGGGUCUGCUUAGACUUGAAGCUCUGUUUUGUCAUUCUUAGCUUUGGUAUCUUGAGCAAGUCACUUGACCUCUCUAUUCUUCAGUUUCUGAAUCUAUCAAAUAAGGAUUAAAAAUACCUGCCUCCAGCCUGGCACGGUGGCUCACACUUGUAAUCUCAGCACUUCGGGAUGCCGAGAUGGGUGGAUCACUUGAGGUCAGGAGUUCAAGACCACCCUGGCCAACAUGGUGAAACCCCGUCUCUACUAAAAAUACAAAAAUUAGCCAGGUGUGGUGGCACAUGCCUGUAAUCUCAGCUACUUGGGAGGCUGAGGCAGGAGAAUCACUUGAACCUGGGAGGCAGAGGCUGCAGUGAGCUGAGAUGGCACUACUGCAUUCCAGCCUGAGAGACAGAGCGAGACUCUGUCUCAAAAACAAAAAAACAAAACAAACAAAAACCUGCCUCAUAGAAUUGCUGUGAGAAUUAAACAAGCUAAUAUGCAUAAACUGUUUUCAAUAAUAAUGAUCAUAUUCUGGGAGCCACCAGGGUAGGGAUGACUCUUGGCUGAUUCCUAAUGUGGGGGGUAGGGUGUUGGGGUCAUCUCUAUAAAUAUUGGGUAGAUACUACAUAGAGAGAAAUAUUCUGUAUUCAUCCCAUUGAAAAAACAUGUAUUGAGCAGCUUACUAUGUAGCAUAUCUAUCUUUAUGAUGUUCUUACUAUGUAGCAUAUCUAUCUUUAUGAUGUUCUAUCUAUCAGUACCUAUAGGUACACUUUGAAGGGUAAGGAGAAAUACAUUUUAGGGAUUGCUUCCUGAAAGGGGGCUCUGGUUCCUGGUUCCUGGCUCUAUUCCAACUGACACCUUAGGAAGCUUGAGGGAACGAACCUCUGGCAUUGAACUCAAGCUUGUGUGGCCUCUUGCAGAAUGAUAGUUAAGUCAGCCCACUGGAGGCUAUCAGCAACUCCUGGAUUCAAAGCCAAAACAUCACCCUCUUAUUUAUAGCUUACUACUAGCCAAACAGAGCUAUAGAUUUAAGAGGUAAGGAGUUUGUUGAGUGCAGGGGAAGGCCAAAUUUCUAACAGAAUGAAUCAGGUUGGGAGCCGGCAUUAUUCUUUCUUAAAAAUAUCAACACUUGGAAUUUGUGAAAAUGUUGCCCUUACAAGUUUUACAUGCAUAAUUUAUAUGUGUGAUACUACAUGCUCAUCAAUAUUCUGUUUGCCUUAUCUCCCCCACUUCCCUCAGAUUUCUAGCUGUCUCAGGACUUGUGGAUAUUUUUGUAUAUUUUGGAGUGUUUAGUGAGAUAAACUAUGUAACACACGCUCUCAAUACGUAUCUGUAGAAUUGAGUUGUACUGCAUAUCACCAUGAAAUUUUACAAAACUGGAGACAAAGAGGAGAUCCAACAGGAUUUCAGAGAUUUUAAAAAAUCAGAAAAAGUUAAAAAAAAAAAACCAGAUACAAAAUAUCAACACAGUUGCCUCAAGCCUGGAAAUUUGAAGUCAGUGGAACAAUGCCUUCUGAAGAAAAACCGUUUCUUACCUAGAAUGCUAUAUCCAAACUACCAAAAAAUCAGUUUGAGAAGAGAGUGAAACAACAAAUGAUACUGCCUUAUCUUCUCUCUCAGGAAGCUGCUGAAGGAUGUGCUCCACCAAAACAAGGAAGGAAACCUAGAGAGGGGAAGAGGUUAAGGCUGAGGAAACCGGGAAUCCGCCACAAAAGGCAAACAAUGGGAAUCACCCAGCUAAAGGAAACUCCUGGGUAGACAGCUAUCUACCAGGCAUAAAAAGCAGUGUACUCGGCUGGUCGUGGUGGCUCAUGCCUGUAAUCCCAGCACUUUGGGAGGCUGAGGCGGGUGGAUCACCUGAGGUCAGGAGUUCUAGAUCGGCCUGGCCAACAUGGUGAAACCCCAUCUCUACUAAAAAUACAAAAAUUAGCCGGGCGUGGUGGCAGGCACCUGUAAUCCCAGUUACUCAGGAGGCUGAGGCAGGAGAAUCGCUUGAACCCAGGAGGCAGAGGUUGCAAUGAGCCGAGAUCGUGCCAUCGCACUCCAGCUGGGGGGACAAGAGCAAGACUUUGUCCCCCCAAAAAAAAGAAAAAAGAAAAAAAAAGAAAGCAGCAUACUCAGGCUGAAGCUGCUUUGAAGACUCCAAGGAAGAGUUCUUCAAGAAAGUCACACUGAAAGAAUCAUGUUUGAAAAUAUUGAGAGGUUUACACAAUAGGGGGAAGAUUAGGGGUUGGACUAAUGAUAAGUACCAUAAAUAUAACUAAGUAAAUGGGGAAAAGGAAGCAUUAUUAACUCCAGUGGAAUAAACAAACUAUGGAGGAAAAGGAAAAAAUAAUCAUGAUAUACCCUAAGUGAUUUGAUUUGCAUAGCAUGAACACAAUCCUAAUAAAGUGAACACUGGGAGUUGAUGUAUCUAAAGCUAUGAUAUAACACAGUUAGCAGGAUGGGGGAGUGGGAAGCGGGCACCUGUGCAGGGUUGAGAUGAGGGUGGGGUAAACAGUUAAACAAGGAGAAUGGGGCCGGGCACGGUGGCUCACACCUGUAAUCCCAGCCCUUUGGGAUGCCGACGAUGGUGGAUUGCUUGAGCUCGGGAGUUCGAGACCAGGCUGGGGAACAUAGCUAGACCCUGUCUCUAUCAAAAGCAGAAACAAAAACCAAAAACUAAAAACAAGGAGAGCUGGUUUUCUUCCCUGGGGUUUUGGCAGAAGCACAUUCCCUUCAAGGACAAACUUGGAGAAUCUCUGAGCAGACCCCGGAGGAGAAGGAAUCUAGACUCCAAUCAUGCGAUUUGUCUGCCGUAUAGAAAAGGCUAUGGCAUGCAAAUGCCUAACAUGGAAAAAGUCCGGAAGUGUUAAUAAACCCGUGGCACUUACAGCUAUGGUGGUUAAGUACCAAAAGAAUUGAGAAGAGUUGGAAGUACUUGCCUCUGGAGCGCAGGAAAGGGGGGUACACAACUGAUAUGUUUCAUACAUGAUUAUUUUAUUGUUUGAACUAUGUAUAACUAAUAUUUUUUCUUUUUUCUUUUUUUUGAGAAGGAGUCUUGCUCUGUCGCCCAGGCUGGAGUGCGGUGGUGCGAUCUUGGCUUAUUGCAACCUCUGCCUCCCAGGUUCAAGCGAUUCUCCUGCCUCAGCCUCCCGAGUAGCUGAGACUACAGGCGCACGCUACCAUGCCUGGCUAAUUUUUUGUAUUUCGUUGUAGAGACGGGGUUUCACUGUAUUAGCCAGGAUGGUCUUGAUCUCCUGACCUCGUGAUCUGCCUGCCUACCUCAGCCUCCCAAAGUGCUGGGAUUACAGGCGUGAGCCACUGUGCCCAGCCAACUAAUUUUUUUGAACUUAAAAAAAAUCCUAAAAUUAAAAAAUGGAAUCAAAUUUAACCGAGCUCCAGCUGUUUCACUGGAGCCCAUAGGUGAUGUCUCAAAGUGUGGUCAACUUGUCCUAGAGUUUAUACUGUUGGUGCUAUGAUGGACACCCAAGACUUCAACUCUGGAACCUCAGGGAUGCCUCUUCAGCCAAGCUAUGUCCUCCAAAGUCCAUUAGGGCGUCUCCUCAGAGAAAUUGUGUGUGUAGUCAGAGGACCUAUUCCCCACAUCCUAGUCUUGUUUGACCAUUCCCUGGCCUUCUUUUUGCUUCUAACGUCUUUCAUACUUAUAGAGUCUGUGGGCUCUUAUCCCUACAACUUACAACUCAACUUCCGUCCCAUCAUCCAAAGACCUGUGCCAAGGUCUACUUCUCUGGAGUUCUCUCUGUCGACAAAGCGCACCACUAGCUCCCAGUGAGCCAAGCCUGAAGACUAAGGAUUCCCCAGAUCCCCCUUCACUCACUCUCAGUGUCACAGAUGCUUCUUUCCUUACAGUCUUCCCUCCUGUCCUUUCUCACUGCCACCACCCUGCUGCAGCCUCUCCUGGCUUCUCACCUCCAACCCACGGCUGCCUCCUCGUUGUUCUCGCUCCUUCCAGUUCAGCCGGAUGUCGCCUCACAGGAUUUUCCAGUUCUCUUCAGGUCACUCCCUGCCUUGAACCCUCCAGUGGCCACCAAAACAAGGAAGGAAACCUAGAGAGGGUGAGAGGUUAAGGCUGAGGAAACCAGGAAUCUGCCACUAGAGGCAAGCACUCCUCAGCUCUGCACACAAGGUCUUUGUGAUGUUGUUCUGGCCACAUCUCCCACCACUGUCCACUCCCCACCUUUUGCUCCAGACAGGUGGAGCCACCUGCAGCUCCCCAUAAGCGUGCUUCACAAUGCAGGGCAAGCGUCCCCUCCUCCAGGAAGCCUUCCCCCAUGCCCUAAGUGUGACUCAGAGAUUUCUUUCCAUCCCUGCAUGUGCAGCUUUGUGGUAGCUCCUGUCACACAGUUUCAUAAAUGUUUGUUUACUUCUUCAAGUUAACGACUCAGUGUGCGCUCCUCAAGCUUAGAAAUGAUGGCCUAUUCAUCUUCAAAUCCCAACCUCUAGUGUCGCGUCUGGCCCGCAGAAGGAAAAUGAAGGCCUGACUGCAUUGACUUUUUGGAUGCAUUUCCUAGAUGAGUCCUAUUUCUAGGUGGCCUCACAAGAAAUAAAAACAUGUCCAGCUUGUUCCGGAUGCUCAUAUC